RNAcentral lists this ribosomal RNA (510 nucleotides) under uncultured bacterium. RNAcentral describes it as "bacterial SSU rRNA". It matches the Rfam family "Bacterial small subunit ribosomal RNA", at positions 28 to 521 of the family's 1533-position model. The record is from RNAcentral.
GACGAACGCUGGCGGCGUGCCUAAUACAUGCAAGUCGAGCGGACCAAAGGGAGCUUGCUCCUGGAGGUUAGCGGCGAACGGGUGAGUAACACGUGGGCAACCUGCCUGUAAGACUGGGAUAACAUCGAGAAAUCGGUGCUAAUACCGGAUAAUAAAAAGAACUGCAUGGUUCUUUUUUGAAAGAUGGUUUCGGCUAUCACUUACAGAUGGGCCCGCGGCGCAUUAGCUAGUUGGUGAGGUAACGGCUCACCAAGGCGACGAUGCGUAGCCGACCUGAGAGGGUGAUCGGCCACACUGGGACUGAGACACGGCCCAGACUCCUACGGGAGGCAGCAGUAGGGAAUCUUCCGCAAUGGACGAAAGUCUGACGGAGCAACGCCGCGUGAGUGAUGAAGGUUUUCGGAUCGUAAAACUCUGUUGUUAGGGAAGAACAAGUGCCGUUCGAAAGGGCGGCACCUUGACGGUACCCAACGAGAAAGCCACGGCUAACUACGUGCCAGCAGCCGCGGU